UGAAAAAACACUAUCUAACCACUUGGAAGAAUUCUAGAGGCAAUGCUGUGAGUUCUUAUGUUUAUUUUUUAGUUAUGUUAACGUUUUUGGCCUUCCUGGGACAUUUUGUGAAUGUUUAUUUGGAAAUUACAUGAUGAGUCUAGUUGUUGCCUUCUACAGAGGGUAGUAGUAUUUUAUCCUGCAAAUUACAUUUGAAGCUUGUCUGUGUUGUUGUCUACUCACUUUUUCCUUUCUUUUUUUUAUCUGCAUUGUUUGCAAUGGUUGUAAUUAAGUACACAGAUACUGAAUUUGUAUUGUCUUUAUUUUUAUUUUACAGUUUUCACCGCCAUGUCAUUGAAGUACAAAAGUAAACGGUCGAAUCAUAUCAAGACUCUGUCCUCUUUGACUGCGGUUUACCUUGAUGUUUAUUGACAGUCCUGUACACUGCAAGAGAACACUAAAGUGAAAAAGCAGCAUUGGAAGUUUCGAAAUGAAGUGACA
Non-coding RNA from Xyrichtys novacula (pearly razorfish), 480 nucleotides. The record is from the annotation of a GenBank genome assembly. NCBI's taxonomy places the organism in Eukaryota, Metazoa, Chordata, Actinopteri, Labriformes, Labridae.